This 483-nucleotide ribosomal RNA is filed under the name uncultured bacterium. RNAcentral's name for it is "partial 16S ribosomal RNA". It matches the Rfam family "Bacterial small subunit ribosomal RNA", at positions 28 to 507 of the family's 1533-position model. The record is from RNAcentral.
GACGAACGCUGGCGGCGUGCUUAACACAUGCAAGUCGAACGCUGAAGCUCAGCUUUUGUUGGGUGGAUGAGUGGCGAACGGGUGAGUAACACGUGAGUAACCUGCCCCCUUCUUUGGGAUAACGCCCGGAAACGGGUGCUAAUACUGGAUAUUCACUGGUCUUCGCAUGGGGGUUGGUGGAAAGGGGUUUUCUGGUGGGGGAUGGGCUCGCGGCCUAUCAGCUUGUUGGUGGGGUGAUGGCCUACCAAGGCUUUGACGGGUAGCCGGCCUGAGAGGGUGACCGGUCACAUUGGGACUGAGAUACGGCCCAGACUCCUACGGGAGGCAGCAGUGGGGAAUAUUGCACAAUGGGCGAAAGCCUGAUGCAGCGACGCCGCGUGAGGGAUGGAGGCCUUCGGGUUGUGAACCUCUUUCGCUCAUGGUCAAGCCGCAACAAUGGUUGUGGUGAGGGUAGUGGGUAAAGAAGCGCCGGCUAACUACGUG